Dioscorea cayenensis subsp. rotundata (Guinea yam) is the source of this 107-nucleotide small nucleolar RNA. The record is from RefSeq and is a predicted model, not a curated record. Lineage: Eukaryota; Viridiplantae; Streptophyta; Magnoliopsida; Dioscoreales; Dioscoreaceae.
AACCCAUGCUGAGGAUAUUUUCACAAGAGAUCCUUGAACCUGUCCCAUGUCUCAAAAAGAGACUCUAAUUCCACUUGCGCAAAAGCGGAUAUUUCAUUCCUGAGCUU